RNAcentral lists this ribosomal RNA (253 nucleotides) under uncultured bacterium. RNAcentral describes it as "partial 16S ribosomal RNA". It matches the Rfam family "Bacterial small subunit ribosomal RNA", at positions 524 to 776 of the family's 1533-position model. The record is from RNAcentral.
UACGAAGGGGGCUAGCGUUGCUCGGAAUCACUGGGCGUAAAGCGCACGUAGGCGGAUCUUUAAGUCAGGGGUGAAAUCCUGGAGCUCAACUCCAGAACUGCCUUUGAUACUGGGGAUCUCGAGUCCGGGAGAGGUGAGUGGAACUGCGAGUGUAGAGGUGAAAUUCGUAGAUAUUCGCAAGAACACCAGUGGCGAAGGCGGCGACCUGGGUCGACACUGACGCUGAGGCGCGAAAGCGUGGGAAGCAAACAGG